This 87-nucleotide transfer RNA is filed under the name Candidatus Uhrbacteria bacterium. Its description in RNAcentral is "tRNA-Leu". It matches the Rfam family "tRNA". Rfam says of the family: Transfer RNA (tRNA) molecules are approximately 80 nucleotides in length. Their secondary structure includes four short double-helical elements and three loops (D, anti-codon, and T loops). The record is from RNAcentral. Lineage: Bacteria; Candidatus Uhriibacteriota.
GGGCGAGUGGCGGAACUGGUAGACGCACAGGACUCAAAAUCCUGCGGGGGCAACCUCAUGAGAGUUCGAGUCUCUCCUCGCCCACCA